This 700-nucleotide ribosomal RNA is filed under the name uncultured bacterium. RNAcentral's name for it is "bacterial SSU rRNA". It matches the Rfam family "Bacterial small subunit ribosomal RNA", at positions 8 to 723 of the family's 1533-position model. The record is from RNAcentral.
AGAGUUUGAUCCUGGCUCAGGACGAACGCUGGCGGCGUGCUUAACACAUGCAAGUCGAACGGUGACCCACCUUCGGGUGGUGAUCAGUGGCGAACGGGUGAGUAACACGUGGGCAAUCUGCCCCUCACACUGGGAUAACUCCGGGAAACCGGGGCUAAUACCGGAUAUCACUCUGGAGGGCAUCCUCCGGGGUUGAAAGGAUUCUGGUGAGGGAUGAGCCCGCGGCCUAUCAGCUUGCUGGUGGGGUAACGGCCCACCAAGGCGACGACGGGUAGCCGGCCUGAGAGGGCGACCAGCCACACUGGGACUGAGACACGGCCCAGACUCCUACGGGAGGCAGCAGUGGGGAAUAUUGCGCAAUGGACGAAAGUCUGACGCAGCAACGCCGCGUGAGGGAACGAAGGCCCUAGGGUUGUAAACCUCUUUCAGCAGGGACGAAGCGAAAGUGACGGUACCUGCAGAAGAAGCACCGGCUAACUACGUGCCGGCAGCCGCGGUAAUACGUAGGGUGCAAGCGUUGUCCGGAUUUAUUGGGCGUAAAGGGCUCGUAGGCGGUCCGUCACGUCGGAAGUGAAAACCUAGAGCUUAACUCUGGGCCUGCUUUCGAUACGGGCGAACUUGAGUUCGGUAGGGGAGACUGGAAUUCCUGGUGUAGCGGUGGAAUGCGCAGAUAUCAGGAGGAACACCAAUGGCGAAGGCA